This is a long non-coding RNA of Ornithodoros turicata, 1137 nucleotides long. RefSeq lists it as uncharacterized. The transcript has 3 exons. The record is from RefSeq and is a predicted model, not a curated record. NCBI's taxonomy places the organism in Eukaryota, Metazoa, Arthropoda, Arachnida, Ixodida, Argasidae.
CACCCGGGAACAUUUUUCUGGAGCCACGUGCUGUGUACAUCAUUUCGAGAUCCCGUGCAUGGCCAGUCGAACCUGCAAUGAGAUGAUGCGAUGGCAGGACGAUCAGGUGAAGUGACCUUGAUAGCGCGGGACUAUGUUAAGCUUAUGUUUGACGUAAAACCACGAAUUAGUAUUAAUUGUUAUUGCUGAGAUAACUUUCUGGGCAGGGAGACGGGACACCAGUGAAUGCCGGAAAUGCACAGUAUGAUAUGAUUGAUAACUAAUGCGUAAACAGGUUGACAAAAAGCAAUAAAGCUUAAUAUAUCAUUACUUUUUCUUCUGUUUUUUUGAGGAGGUAACAUAACAUGAUAAUACGGAGGUGUUGCAAAAGUUUCCGUUUCGCUUCAAAUCCACCAAACCACAUGUACAUUGCAGUCCCUCUGGACAAAAGUGUACGAGGAGCUAAACUGGUUUCGACUUUUUAGGUCAGCGGGAAAUUCCAGAGCUCAAUGGGAAGCAUACACUGACCCUUCCCCUUUUGCACCGCUGCUCCCUUCGGGCUGAUAGGGAACAUACUUAUUCUUGGAAUAUUGUCAACGUCAGUAGGUCACCUGACCUCCGUAGUCAUUUGAAGUGCUAGGCCCAGACAGGAUUCAUUCGCCAUCGUCGGCGUCAAGACGUCCUCGUGUGAAAGACAACGCUUUUGUGUGUGUGUGUGUGUUUCUCCACAUAGAAAACUACAACAGUGAAACGUGUCCAGGUAGGGGAGUUAGAGUACGCUGACAAGCAAGAAGAAUGUUUGAUGAAUAUUUCUGACGACAAGACUGCGCUCCAGGAUGAAAUGGACGUUUUAAUAGAAGAAUGCAACAGGAAUUUGCUUGCACUUCCUGAGAAGGCGUUUGUGUGUGUGUUGUGUCGUGCGUUCUGUGUUCCAUGCCAUGUCGUCCAUCGAUAGGAACCAACUCGAUCGCAUCAGCGCUCUCUUGGAUUACCGCAAGACAAGCCCUCUCCUUCCAAAACGAAGUCACUCAGGCACACAGCGUAGGACGGGAGGAAUGGAAGGCGUCGCCCCCGGCUCUACUGAAAUCUAUUGGGACCAAAUUAAGUGAAUUGAAAUGCAAACGAAACCAUGGCAAUAAAAUUGUCCAUUGAAUCUUA